This 323-nucleotide ribosomal RNA is filed under the name uncultured eukaryote. Its description in RNAcentral is "partial 18S ribosomal RNA". It matches the Rfam family "Eukaryotic small subunit ribosomal RNA", at positions 1470 to 1796 of the family's 1831-position model. The record is from RNAcentral.
CCCUUAGAUGUUCUGGGCCGCACGCGCGCUACACUGAUACAUGCAACGAGUUUAUAACCUUGAUCUGACGGUCUGGGUAAUCUUCAAACUGUAUCGUGUUAGGGAUCGAUUCUUGCAAUUUUUAAUCGUAAACGAGGAAUUCCUAGUAAACGCAAGUCAUCAGCUUGCAUUGAUUACGUCCCUGCCCUUUGUACACACCGCCCGUCGGCUCUACCGAUUGAAUGGUUCGGUGAAAACUUUGGACUGUGGCAUUGUCCUUCAUUGGACUUCGCCGUAGGAAAUUGUUUAAACCUCAUCAUUUAGAGGAAGAAUAAGUCGUAACA